RNAcentral lists this ribosomal RNA (253 nucleotides) under uncultured bacterium. RNAcentral's name for it is "partial 16S ribosomal RNA". It matches the Rfam family "Bacterial small subunit ribosomal RNA", at positions 524 to 776 of the family's 1533-position model. The record is from RNAcentral.
UACGGAGGGUGCAAGCGUUGUCCGGAUUUAUUGGGUUUAAAGGGUGCGUAGGCGGCCCGUUAAGUCAGUGGUGAAAGCCUCCAGCUCAACUGGAGAACUGCCAUUGAUACUGACGGGCUUGAGCACAGACGAGGUUGGCGGAAUUGAUUGUGUAGCGGUGAAAUGCAUAGAUACAAUCAAGAACUCCGAUUGCGUAGGCAGCUAACUAGGCUGUAACUGACGCUGAGGCACGAAAGCGUGGGGAGCGAACAGG